UCCCUGGUGGUCCAGUGGCUAAGACUCCAUUCUCCCAAUCCUGGGGGCCCAGGUUCAAUCCCUGGUCAGGGAA
Molecule: transfer RNA, 73 nt
Filed under: Capra hircus (goat)
Lineage: Eukaryota; Metazoa; Chordata; Mammalia; Artiodactyla; Bovidae
Also listed under: 1 other name
Rfam family: tRNA
About the family: Transfer RNA (tRNA) molecules are approximately 80 nucleotides in length.
Source: Rfam by way of RNAcentral